AGCUGUGGGAGCGACAGAGCCCCCAGUGUUGCUCACACAGGCAGGAGACGGAUAUGGGCAAAGAGGAUGGAACCACUGGAAUUCCUUCAGAAUAACAGGAAAUUGGUUCAUUUGCCUCGGAGCACAGAAAUGGAAGAGCCUUGGCCUUAUCCCCGUCGAGAGGCAGCGCACGGAGGAAGAGGCCAGUGGGGUCAGACUGACUGUCUGUGCCAGCCAUGGCUGCUCUGUGGGACAGGAAGGAAGCUGUAUUUGGAAAAAUCAGUAUCAGAAGCUUCCUUGCUGGCAAAGGAUGUUGUCAGAACA
Long non-coding RNA from Chiroxiphia lanceolata (lance-tailed manakin), 303 nucleotides. RefSeq lists it as uncharacterized. The transcript has 3 exons. NCBI's taxonomy places the organism in Eukaryota, Metazoa, Chordata, Aves, Passeriformes, Pipridae. The record is from RefSeq and is a predicted model, not a curated record.